AAGGAUAUUUAAUUGCAGUAAAAGCCUCUUCUUUAGCAAAAUCACUUUCUAUUGGAAAUUCAAAAAGUUUUUUGAAACAAAAACCAAAUAAAAGAGUUUUUGGUUUUUAUGUAUUUCUACAAUAAAGUAUUCCUUUAAUAAAUAUAGAUUAAAAUGCUAUNAGAUAGUUUAAAAUGCUAAUAAAAAACUAGCUUUCAAAUAAAUAAUUCAUUUUACAUUAAUUUAAUUCUUAUUUUUAAGAGAUUAAUUUUUAUUAAUUUAGUUAGUUAAAUUUUAGUUAAAAUUAGACUUUAAUUAGAACUAUAAAUUAUAAAUAAUUUAUAUUAUUUUUAAUUCUAAAAAUAAUAUCUAUAUCUUAGGAUUUCAAUUACUUAAUUAAGUAACAAUUUACUUAUUAAUUAACUUUUCACAAUAGAAGAAAAGAUUUUCUUCUAUUGUGAAAAGUUUAAUAGAACUUAAAUUUAAUUUGAGAUUUAAAAAUUUCCUAUCUUAUAUAUAUUUUUUAAAAAUUUUUUAAAAAUUAAAAAAAGAUUUAUAAUUUACUGUUAAUUUACUGUUAAUUUUAACAUUAAAAAAUAAAAAAAGAUAAAUGAUAAAAACUUUGCAUUUAUUUUUUUUUUUNAUUCUACUAGAAUAUUAAAAAAUAAAAAAGACUAAAUUCUUUUUGUUUUUUGUAAGUAAAUAUUAAAAUUAAAAAAAAUGAUUUUUCUUCCGUAUGAUUAUUGAUACGGAAAAUAAGAUAAAUGAUAAAAAAAUAGUAAGUUUUAUAAAAAAAGUAAGAUUUUGCCAUUGAGGAUUUCAAAAUAAAAUGAAAAAAAAUCUUUUCUCUUUAUCCUUUCUAAAAUUUCUUAUUUCAAAUANAAAUUUUUUAAUCUUGACGANUUAAACAUGAANUUGGCUUAUUAUUUAAAAAAAGCCGCC
Molecule: unclassified non-coding RNA, 921 nt
Filed under: Cyperus hemioccidentalis
Lineage: Eukaryota; Viridiplantae; Streptophyta; Magnoliopsida; Poales; Cyperaceae
Description: partial contains rpl32 gene (partial), rpl32-trnL IGS and trnL gene (partial)
Source: RNAcentral